GGGCCCGUAGCUCAGGUGGUUAGAGCGCACGCCUGAUAAGCGUGAGGUCGUUGGUUCAAGUCCAACCGGGCCCACCA
RNAcentral lists this transfer RNA (77 nucleotides) under Actinomycetes bacterium. Its description in RNAcentral is "tRNA-Ile". It matches the Rfam family "tRNA". From Rfam's summary of the family: Transfer RNA (tRNA) molecules are approximately 80 nucleotides in length. The record is from RNAcentral. Lineage: Bacteria; Bacillati; Actinomycetota; Actinomycetes.